CGCCUCUUGACAAACUAUAAGAGGUCUAGCCUGCCCAGUGACAUAGUUAAACGGCCGCGGUAUUCUGACCGUGCGAAGGUAGCAUAAUCACUUGUUCUUUAAAUAAGGACUAGUAUCAACGGCAUCACGAGGGUUACACUGUCUCCUCCCUCCAAUCAGUGAAACUGAUCUCCCCGUGAAGAAGCGGGGAUAAACCUAUAAGACGAGAAGACCCCAUGGAGCUUUAAACUCAACAACAACCUCCUACAUAAAGUCCUACGUAACCGCGGAAGUUCUGUUUGUUAGUUUUGGGUUGGGGUGACCGCGGAGAAAAACCAAACCUCCACGACGAACGGAAAUAACUCCUAAUCUAAGAGCUACUACUCUAAGAAUCAACAAAUUGACAUAAACUGAUCCGAUAAUCGAUCAACGAACCAAGUUACCCUGGGGAUAACAGCGCAAUCCAUUUCAAGAGCCCCUAUCGACAAAUGGGUUUACGACCUCGAUGUUGGAUCAGGGUAUCCCAGUGGUGCAGCCGCUACUAAAGGUUUGUUUGUUCAACAAUUAAAACCCUACGU
This 557-nucleotide ribosomal RNA is filed under the name Nanorana quadranus (swelled vent frog). RNAcentral describes it as "partial 16S ribosomal RNA". It matches the Rfam family "Bacterial large subunit ribosomal RNA", at positions 1829 to 2601 of the family's 2925-position model. The record is from RNAcentral. Lineage: Eukaryota; Metazoa; Chordata; Amphibia; Anura; Dicroglossidae.